UGUGGUGUGGUCUGCAGAGGGAUU
This 24-nucleotide unclassified non-coding RNA is filed under the name Mus musculus (house mouse). Its description in RNAcentral is "oocyte_clustered_small_RNA6220". The record is from RNAcentral. Lineage: Eukaryota; Metazoa; Chordata; Mammalia; Rodentia; Muridae.